CGUUCACGGCGAAGUGAAGCGGCAACAGCUCAAAUUUGAAAUCUGGUCUUCGGGCCCGAGUUGUAAUUUGUAGAGGAAGCUUUUGGCGCGGUACCUUCUGAGUCCCCUGGAACGGGGCGCCAUAGAGGGUGAGAGCCCCGUAUAGUUGGAUACCAAGCCUGUGUAAAGCUCCUUCGACGAGUCGAGUAGUUUGGGAAUGCUGCUCAAAAUGGGAGGUAAAUUUCUUCUAAAGCUAAAUACCGGCCAGAGACCGAUAGCGCACAAGUAGAGUGAUCGAAAGAUGAAAAGCACUUUGAAAAGAGGGUUAAAUAGCACGUGAAAUUGUUGAAAGGGAAGCGCUUGUGACCAGACUUGCGCCGGGCUGAUCAUCCGGUGUUCUCACCGGUGCACUCUGCCCGGCUCAGGCCAGCAUCGGUUCUCGCGGGGGGACAAAGGUCCUGGGAACGUAGCUCCUCCGGGAGUGUUAUAGCCCAGGGCGUAAUGCCCCCGCGGGGACCGAGGUUCGCGCUCU
This 511-nucleotide ribosomal RNA is filed under the name Canariomyces arenarius. RNAcentral's name for it is "partial 28S ribosomal RNA". It matches the Rfam family "Eukaryotic large subunit ribosomal RNA", at positions 79 to 601 of the family's 3401-position model. Lineage: Eukaryota; Fungi; Ascomycota; Sordariomycetes; Sordariales; Chaetomiaceae. The record is from RNAcentral.